Amborella trichopoda is the source of this 3613-nucleotide non-coding RNA. The record is from RefSeq and is a predicted model, not a curated record. Lineage: Eukaryota; Viridiplantae; Streptophyta; Magnoliopsida; Amborellales; Amborellaceae.
AUGUCCCAUCCUCCCACGCUCUCUCUCAAGAGAGCCGUUAUUAUUGUCAGCUUUCUCUCUCUCUAUACCACUAAUCUUUCUCUCUCUCUACACCAACAUCACCCUCUCUUUCUCUCUCUACACCACCACUCUCUCUGUGGUCUCUGCAACUCCAUCAAAUAUACAUAACCUAGAGAGCCAUUUUUCACAAAAGAAGUAGAAUAAGCUCUGAGAAUCAGGGGAAGGAGAAAGAAGGAAACCUUCCAAAAGUGGGAAUGGAAGAGGGCCUCGACAUGGCGAGGUUGUCCCUGAUCGAUGUCUCUUCUGCUGAUGACAGCCUGAUCGAUGGAGAUCUUCCCCUUUUGCCAUGUUCUGAUUUCUCAAAAAAGUGGGAUGAGCCAAACUGCUUUGAAUCACAUGAGGACGUUUGUGAUCGGGAAGCUGAAAAGGUGGCACCCCCGGAGCCCAAUAGAACUAGAAAAGUUAGCAAGUGUAACUUGCGGAAAAGUUUAGCUUGGGAUAGUGCGUUCUUCACAAAUGAAGGUGUGCUGGAUUCUGAGGAGUUAGCUCUUGUGAAUAAAACUUUUAAGAAGGCUGAACCACCAAAGUUACCUGGUAUUCAAGAAGAAACUCAGAGAUCAUUUGACUCAUCUUCUACAUUAGAUGGAGGUGACAUACCAUUUCGAAACCUUGAAGUUGAUACAUGUGACUGUGUCCAAAAGGUAAUCGAGAACGUUGGAGAUGAUGUAAAAAUUCCUGAUACAAAAUGUGGUAACAAUGAAGCAAGACCAAGUUUAAAAGAAUCAUCAAAUUCUGGUUCUUCUACCAAGCGAUCACUAACUCAAGGCAGGAUGAAGCAAGUGCCUGUUUCCAAGAAGUGCUUCACUCCAAAGCAUGGACUGGACCCAACUUCAAAAGGAGUUGUCAUUCAAUUAGUAGAGGCUACAAGACAUGGGGAGUCUAAGUCAUCUCUAAAGCCUCCAAAGUUUUCUUCCCAGAUAAGUAAACCUGCUUCAAUAGCAAUGACCAAAAAACUCUCUGCAAAUUCUAGAAUUGCUAAAACUACUCCUGUAAAGGGUUUGCCGGAUAGAAUGGGAUACCUGCAACCUGCUGCAGUCUCACAGAAGCAUAUCUCUACUGAUUCAUGUAGUGUUAGGUCUACUCCUUCUCCAAAAUCUUCUUCUUCUGGAUCUCCAUGUUCUUAUAAACAGCUUUCUUCACUUUCCUCCAUUUCACUUGAAAGGUCUGGUAGUGCCUCUUCUGACUCAAUUGCUAAAUCACCCCUGAGGAUCGUGAGAAAUAAAUUUGAGUCUAGAACUACGAGUUUAUCAUCCUAUCUCAUGUCCAAUUCCCAGUCAUCUUUGAGCAUAUCUCCUGCAAGCUCCGUUGAUGCCAUAUCAGAGACUUCCUCAACUUCCACCAAUCAUGGGUCUCAUUAUUCAAAACCAUGCAACGAUAUUGAUAGCCUUCCCUUACAUAAUCAGAUAAUGCCAUGUGCUGAUAUUCAGAACGAGACAGCAUUAUGUCCAUGUGAGGAGCAGACCGUUGUUCCUGAAAAUGUCAGGAACGGUUUGUUUUGUGUAAGUGUUGAAAAGCAAAGCAAUAGAUCAUCUGUUUCCUCAGCAGUGGUACAUGGUUCCAACAAGGGUGGAAUCCAGAAGGGCGGUCAUUGCAUUAAGCCAACGGGUCUUCGGAUGCCAUCACCAAAAAUUGGGUUUUUUGAUGCGGCCAACAUUCCUCCUGGGCAUUCUGUUUCUACAUCAGAGGAAAAAUCUAGGGUCCAUUCUACAAUUGGAGGCCAGCAAUCACAACCUGGCAUGCAAACUUCCGUGCCCAGAAAUGCUACUGGUCUUGGUAUUUCUGAUGUGGUCAAGGUUAAGGUGAACAAGAUUCAAUCUACCAGAGCAGCAGCACAGUCUCAAAAUGUUUUUUCAGGCUCUCAUCACUCUGGGCCAUCACACGCCUCUUCCAGUUCUACUUCAAGACCUGCUGCCCCUGCACGACUGGCACAACGGAUACCAAAGCAAAAUCCUAGAGCAUCUGAUGCACCUAAAAUUUCAGAAAAGAGACUCAGCAUGUCUUUAAAAGCUUGGAAGGGAUCCUCUGCUAGAAACAACAAGGAUGGAAACUUUGAAAAUACUCAAAAUGUAACAAUAAAGCCAGCUGAGUCAUUUGAUAGAGCUUCAUCUUCAGAUUUGAGUGAAGAAAAGAAUCAACAAGAGGACUGCAGGGGUGAUUGCAGUGCAGAGAAUCAGGUAUCCAGUAUGUCUAAUCUAAAUGUUCCUGAAGAAAACAGUCCUCUGGGUUGCAGUGAAGCAAAAUACGGUUUUGAUCUCGGAAAGAUAUCAUCAUAUGACACAUCAAGUAUUGUUUCAUCUGAAGAAUCCUUAGCUCAGAAUAUGGAUUUUUCUCUUCCCAGAAACAGGAAAAAUGGUGAUUAUUUAUUAAGCCCACAGUACAAUGCAGUUGUUUCUUUGGAUACUGAAAGUAAAGAUCAUGGUGAGAUUUUCGGUAGAAAUGGAAAUUGUAUUGAUCUUAAACCAGAUUUCCGUUAUGUGCUUUCUCUUCCUGUUCUUGAGGUAAAUGAACUGGAUAAGUCUGAUACUUCCAGGUCAUCAUCCUCUUAUUUAUCAGAACCCUCUAGCUUUAAUCAUAAGUUAGACGCUCUACAAAGUUCAUCCGAACUUAAUUCUUUGCCUGUUCGUUCAGAGUUUAUGUCCUCUGGGAAAAGUCCUUUAGCUAUUAAUUAUUCUUUGUGCAAAUGGAGUGAAAAUUAUGAGCAGAACAUUGAACUGCACAGUGAAAAGUCUUUGGAGAAGAAAUCUGCAUAUUCUUUACGAGAGAAAGCUUCAUCUCUCAUUGCAUCAGGAACCUAUCCUCCAGAUACAGUUGAAAAAAUCGGACAAGAAAAUAUUAUUUUGAAAGUCUUUAAUGAGGAUGACGUGCACGAAAGAGUAAUUGUUCCCAAGGAUAUUUCUUGUGGUGCUUCUCCAAUUGUCAGCAGCUGAUUUCAUUUCAUCAAGGUGACGACACUUUGUAGCAUUUUAUAGACCUGGAAUUCAAGACCCCAGUUACUUUUGUUCAAGGAAAUUCAAGAAUUCUUACUUAGAUUGUUUUAUGUGAUUAUCAGUCUAGAUACAGAUAACAAUAAUGAUAGCAAAAGCAUUCUGUAAUGGCAAACUUCGAAGUUUCUUGUCAACUAUCUGUCAGGAAUAAGGUUUUCCUGUACAAAAUUAUGAAUCUCAUUUGCGUCACAUACGAAGGCUAUGCACAAUGCAGGUGAGUGCAUAAGCAUAAAAGGUUCAAACAAGUUUUUAUGUACAGCGAGGAAAGGCUUAUGGGUGCUUUACUUUAGGGGCAUGUUUUCUCUCUUAUGGGCAUGAAUCAAGGGAUAGAAAUAAGAUCCAAGUAUCAGAGUUAGCCACCGAGGGCUACAAAAUUCAUAGAAACAGAAGCACUUUGGAGCCAAGAUUAGUCAACUGCCGAAGUAGAUUAUCAUAAUGGUACAUCUUAAGAAUAGUUUGUGUUUUCUCGUGGAGAUACAGGGAAAGAGGUUUAUGCCGAAUGUGAAUUCUUAAGUGGGUACCAUGAUUUAAAUGAAUGUGUUGGUGUAUGCCGGAAUAAUAUUGCAUCA